GCAAAUCAUAUCGCUGUAACCUUAAGUUGGAGUACAUCGCCCCUUCCUAGCAAAACCACCAGCAUCACGCAAGCAGAGCAAAUGGAGUCGACCUCUCGCCAUAUGGUUGCGUCCGUCCUCUUGGUCCUUCUCCUCCUCGUCGCCACAGAGAUGGGGACGACGAGGGUGGCGGAGGCGAGGCACAGGCACUGCGAGUCGCAGAGCCACAGGUACCGCGGAGCGUGCUGGAGGGACGACAACUGCAAGCACGUCUGCAACACCGAGGGCUUCCCCUCGGGCAAGUGCAAGUUCCACGGCUUCGAAAGCAAGUGCGUCUGCACGAAACCCUGCCAGUAG
Molecule: ribosomal RNA, 336 nt
Filed under: Triticum aestivum (bread wheat)
Lineage: Eukaryota; Viridiplantae; Streptophyta; Magnoliopsida; Poales; Poaceae
Description: partial small subunit ribosomal RNA
Source: RNAcentral